Molecule: ribosomal RNA, 326 nt
Filed under: uncultured eukaryote
Lineage: Eukaryota
Description: partial 18S ribosomal RNA
Rfam family: Eukaryotic small subunit ribosomal RNA
Source: RNAcentral
CCCUUAGAUGUUCUGGGCCGCACGCGCGCUACACUGAUGCAUUCAACGAGCCUAUCCUUGACCGAGAGGUCCGGGUAAUCUUUGAAACUGCAUCGUGAUGGGGCUAGAUUAUUGCAAUUAUUAAUCUUCAACGAGGAAUGCCUAGUAAGCGUGAUUCAUCAAAUCGCGUUGAUUACGUCCCUGCCCUUUGUACACACCGCCCGUCGCUCCUACCGAUUGAGUGUGUUGGUGAGGAGUUUGGAUUGGCCUCGGAAGGUGGUUCGCCACCGUCCGUAGCUGAGAAGUUCUCCAAACCGCCCCACUUAGAGGAAGGAGAANUCGUAACA